UAAAUGAUUUCUUCGGAAUGAACUUAAGUGGAUUAGUGGCGGACGGGUGAGUAACGCGUGAGUAACCUGCCUUACACAAGGGGAUAGCCGUUGGAAACGACGAAUAAUACCCUAUGAAACUAUCACUUCGCAUGGAGCGAUAGUCAAAGUGUUAGCGGUAUAAGAUGGACUUGCGUCUGAUUAGCUAGUUGGUGAGAAAAAAGCCCACCAAGGCAACGAUCAGUAGCCGGCUUGAGAGAGUGUACGGCCACAUUGGGACUGAGACACGGCCCAGACUCCUACGGGAGGCAGCAGUGGGGAAUUUUGCACAAUGGGGGAAACCCUGAUGCAGCGACGCCGCGUGAUUUAGAAGGCCUUCGGGUUGUAAAAAUCUUUUGUAUAGGAAGAAAAUGACAGUACUAUACGAAUAAGGUCCGGCUAAUUACGUGCCAGCAGCCGCGGUAAUACGUAAGGACCGAGCGUUGUCCGGAAUCAUUGGGCGUAAAGGGUACGUAGGCGGGUCAUUAAGUUAGAAGUCAAAGGCUAUAGCUCAACUAUAGUAAGCUUCUAAAACUGGCGACCUUGAGUAAUGGAAGGGAAAGUGGAAUUCCUAGUGUAGCGGUGGAAUGCGCAGAUAUUAGGAGGAAUACCGGUGGCGAAGGCGAC
This 645-nucleotide ribosomal RNA is filed under the name uncultured Eubacteriales bacterium. RNAcentral's name for it is "bacterial SSU rRNA". It matches the Rfam family "Bacterial small subunit ribosomal RNA", at positions 63 to 725 of the family's 1533-position model. The record is from RNAcentral. Lineage: Bacteria; Bacillati; Bacillota; Clostridia; Eubacteriales.